RNAcentral lists this long non-coding RNA (2719 nucleotides) under Podarcis lilfordi (Lilford's wall lizard). The record is from RNAcentral. Lineage: Eukaryota; Metazoa; Chordata; Lepidosauria; Squamata; Lacertidae.
UGCUGGCCCUGGGUGAGAACUUCAGUACAUAACAGCGCACCCUGUCCCUACGGGCGUCGUGCACCCCAUUCCUAGGGGCGCUUCACCCUGCCCCUGGGCACGUCACCCAAGGGGCCCAAGAGGUUUCCUCCGCCACUGUCUCCAAGGUCUUCCACAGAGCUCUCCCAAGAGCACCGUUGGGCAAAGGAUGUGCUCGGCUCGGAAGCUAUGGCCUCAGGGUGGGAAGCUUGACUUUAGCACAGUUCAAAAAAUCCCCUUUCUAAAGUUGAUGCAGCAACCAGCUUGUUGCUGACUCGUCUGAGUUCUACUAAUCAAGAUGCCUCCCUGGUUCAAAAUCCCUUGGAAUCCCUCUUAAAGAAUACACACACAAAUCUGAUUCAUGCUCAUCUAAAACUGUUUUACUCUCGGGUUCCUUCAGGUUUACAGAACUGUACCUGAAGGCAGCCUUAGGUUACAUAACAAGCAAAGAAACUAUACCAGAGGGAAGUUGGUCCUGAGGUGACUGCAACUGAGCAGUCAUCUUUCAAAACUACCAGCAACCGCUUAGAACAUGGAGGCUGUUAGUCCGCUGCCAGAAUGUUGCACUUGACUGCACCUUUACAUCCCACACUCAGAUGUUCCUCAACUGAGCAACAAGCUGGAGCAAGCAGUGGACUGGUGCAUUCCAAAUCCCUCCCGCUUGGGAAGGUUAAUAAAAUAAUAAUAAUAAAAACAACAACAAGGUUUCUUUGCAAUUUGAAUCUAGACUUCCAAAUGGAACCUGGUUCAACUGCGGCUCCAAGCACUAUGCUAAGGGAAUCUGCCUGAGUUUCAUGCUCUGGACCAUGGUCUGAGAAGUUGGACCCCCUCCUACCCUCUGCUCUCUGGACAGGGACAGAUGCAUUUGUCAGCAUUGGUUUCUCUAUUUUUCAAAGUUUUCUGGUCUUUUUCGUUGGGCCCUUUCUUUGUCUUCUUUGUUGAAUUAAUUUUACUGUUGAGGGAACCAUUAAUAUCCCCAAAUCCAGAAGUAUUGGAGGAUCUCACUGUCUUGCGGGGGGGGGGGGUAGAACAGAUUCUUGGUUUGGGAAAUGCAGAUUUGGAAGGUUUGCAUUGAACAACCUGAUUAGAUUGCCCCCUCCAUCCUUUCCUCUGGGAGUCACUUACUAGAUCGGAUUCCAGAAGCAGAGCUAUCCCUCACAGGCUGAGCUGUUGAUGCAAUCCAGGCAAAAAUACCAGUCCAAAACACACAUAACUGGAGGCAAGAAACUAAGCACAGCCAUCUCACCACCAGAGAUCCUUCAAAUAUUAAUCUCUCUUCACUUAACACCCUUCUUAGCAGAAUCAUUUUCUCCUCACUUACAGGAACAGUAGGACGGCAAAUCUUCUACCAAGAUAAAGUUGGCCUUGUUGUGAGCCAGGUGUCCCAAAGAGACAGUGGGAAACAGUGAGGUCACACACUGAAAGCCCAAUGAAUUCACAGGCAGGUUGGGAGGAGAACAGGUACUCUCAGGAGUGGCUUCCAAGUGCCAUGAUGUGCUGGGGCAGGGCAGGGAUGAAUGCAUAGGGGCGCUGCAUGCCAGUCCAAUUUCUCCAAAUUCAUUACCCAUCCUGAGACUCAGAAAAUGAUUCAGGAGGUGCCUGGGCCCCUGCCUAGCCACAUGACUGGAUUGUAAUUUCCAUCAUUCAAGAGGCGAGUCCUUCCAUCCCUACCAGGGAGGGAUGUUGCUUUACUUACCCAACAAGCAGCGCUGCCACUCAUGACACAUACCUGCUUGUUGGCAGCAGGCUGAAAUAAGCUUAGGGCAGCACCCUGGACAACAUCCUUGCAUAUAGACUGGUGGACAAAUGGAGGCCUCCUUACCACCAGCACACUCGGGAUUCCCUGGGCUGCCUCCAGGUGACAGGAGGAGGCAUGGCAGCAGACUGGGUGCAGGCACAGUGGGGAAGGCGCAGCUGAAGGACUGCUGAAUUGCUGGCGUACUUUGGAGCAGCUGGAGACCUUGAAGGAAGGCCUAGUACAUCACUAGGAGAGGUACAUUUUCAAAGGUCAUUAAAGAAUUGCUGGGGUUUGUUUUCUCCAUCUUUCUCCUCUGGAUGGAGGGGAAGGGGAUCUUCUCGAUGAAAUUCCUUCCUGCACGGCUCCUCAUGCAUAGGGACGGGUGUGGCUUCUCUCUUCCCCACUUCUGCAUCAGCACCCCUUCUAGGAUCUGUUGAGCCCGCUCCCUUCUUUGCUUGGGCAGGGAGGAGGGUGCCUAGGAGGAAUUGCAAGGCAGGAUUGUGAGCAGGUGGCAGAGCCAGCCCAUCAUUAGACAAGGUGAGGCCACUGCCUCAGGCCGCAGAAGCCCCCCAGGUGACACUGCUGCAGGUGCCCCACCUGUCUCACCACCUCUGCCAGUGGCGGAGAAGCACUGGGAAAAUGCCAGUUUCUGGCAAGAGCCCAUCCAGCAGCAGUGUGGACAUGAUGACAUGAGCCCACAUCCAUCAUGCUUUGCCUGCAGCAGUCAAACAUCCCAGGCUGGGGAGACUUCCGGAGCAGCACACCUACAGUCGGGUGGGGAUCUGCGCUCCUGAUAUCUCGAGGCAGACCCGGCAUUGGAGAGAGGCAGAAAUGGGUGACGAGGCAUAAGUCACCCGACCUCAGGUGGGGAUCCUGAGGGCAGAGCCCAUGGCGGCGUGAUAAGGGGUCUCCCAAAGUGAGAAAACAAAGUAUAUCGCCAAGACGCAGGGAGGACCUCCACGC